CUCGCAGACUUUAUUGAUGUAUGGUCAAAUAUUGUAGACAAUUUUAAGAAUACUUGUAUAAUAUGUCUGAUGGGAUUGAUUCUAUUGUUUAUAAAAUAAUAUAGACCCCCUUCCAGAUUUUCAUUUUAUCUGUUUAGUGUAAUAUUUAUGUUGUAUACUUAUUUCAUUGUUACUGAAAUAUAAUUGUUACAAUAUAAUAUAACUAAAAAACAAAACAAAAAAAAACCUUAAAAGUACAUUCACAAAGAAAAACAAAGAAAAAGGUUCCCAACAAACAUCUUUUAAUUUGUUUCACCAUCAUGUGCCAUUGCUGCAAAGCACAGAUAGUUACUCCGUAGAAACAUUUACCAACAACAACUCUGGCAGCAUCUGCCAUUAGAAUUUCAUUAGAAUGUUUGGGCCACAAAUUGAGUAGCAUCCUCAACCAUCUUCUCAAAAGCGGGGAGAGAGGAUGGGUUGGGGCCUGUGUUAUUGAAGGAAUGUUAAUCGAGCGUAUUUGCCAUUUUAUUUAUGGCGCUAUAAUUAAAUACAUACAUUAAGUUGAUCUUCCAUCCACUACAGCCUGAAACAUGCAUUUGUUUUAUUUUAGGAAUUAUACAGAGAUCUGAAAUAUUCCAAGACUUGGUGGGUGAUAAGGGUUAGCAUACUGGGGUCUCGGUGCUGAGAAGAGAGAAACAAGCACACUGAACCAUUGAUACUGCUUUAAUAAACAUUCCGAGGUAGUUGUGCUUCAGCAAGCGCAAGGAUGCAUUUUGCCGUUUCAUGUUUACUCCUGUACAGUCUUCAAAUGCCAAACAACUGUAUACAUUUAGAAAGAAUCGUGGAAGGGUAGCAGAAAAAUACAAACAUGCCACUUCAUGGCAAAAAGUAAUAUAUCUCCAGUGUUCUACUCUCACUAUUUAUUAAUCAAUAUCUCUUAGAAUUAAGACAUUUUAUUAGUGUACUAGACUUGUGCAAAAAUGCGUUUUAGCCUUUUUUAAAUUUUUUUUAAAAGAAUCAAAAUCCUUUUAACUCUGCACCCAAACGAAGAGAUUAAUCUGGGAUUUACCAGUGACGUCUUAUCCUAGGCGAUUAGAUUUUUUUUUUGGUUGAGGAUUACAAGGAUUUUUGAUUUGGACUAAUCGGCAGAAACUUUUUUUUUUUUUUUGUGUCUUGUAUGUUAAUGGCCUACUCUGUUAGUGUUCAGGAUGAUGUAGGUCUAGGACCUUAAAGAAUCUUUCUAAAGCCACUUUCUAAAGCUGGAUCAAUCAGCUGAAACCUCAAAUUGGGAUUGAUCUACUUUUACAACUUUUAGUAAAUCCACUAAAAUGGGAUUAUCCUGUCUGGAAUGGACCACGGAAUUGACAAAUUAUAAGCCAUAAAUACUCAAAACUGUAAAUUGUUUUAUUCCACUCCAUAUUUUUCCCCUGAACUUGGCUACUUUGAAAUAAAAAUUGCAAUUCCCUGCUCCGUGGCCACAAUUUCACAGUUUAGUUCUUAACUCUGCUUAUCUUGUAUGGCUAAUGUUAGUGUUAAUCAAGUAUUAUUAGUAGCAUCCUCGAUGUUGGUUCAAAACAUAACACCUAACAAAUACAAACAGGAGAAGGUUCAGAAAAGUGUCUAACCAAGCUGCUGGGCAACAGCCAAAAGAAAUGCAGUAAUAUGUCUACCACCAUAAAAACUACAACAUAUUGUAGUGGCUAUGGUGCUUUGAGAGCCAAUUUAAAACGAAGCAUAAAUACAUACGACCAAUAAUAUUUCCACUCUCCCUCCCAGGACUUUUUGACUUAUUUUUUAAAUUUAGUUAUUGCCUUAGAAUAAUUUCUUCUAUCAGGCCGGGGAAAUAUAAACAGAACUGUCUUGUUUUGCAAAACGUAUUGUAGUAUUCGACUAUUACUGUCUGACAUGAGCGCUGUGGGAUGGAUAUGACCCAUCAGGGGCUUUUCUAAUAAAUUCAGCUGUGUGAAACUAGACAGCUGGCGAUUAAAGCGAAUGUUCGUGCCCUAUGAAUGCAGCAUUGAUAAAUUGCCCUCGUAUAUGCAGAUAUGAGCUAAAUAACCACUAACAUGUUCUAUGACACAUUUGCGCUGUACCUUGUGGAUUCUAUUUUGUGUCCAAAGAAGCACCACACCAUGGUUUUAUUGAUUCAGAACGGUCACCAGAUCUGGGACUGCUGGGUAAUAUGAUCUAUUUUAACAAUAAUAUGAUAUUUAUGCAUUUACAGGAAGGAUUAUUUUUUUUUAGUACAACUUGUCAGAGCAGGGGUUCCCAACCCAGUCCUCAAGUACCCCCUAUCAAUCCAUGAUUUAGAGAUUACCUUGUUGUGUCCAACAUGUUUUUUUCUUUUUCUAAAAACACAGCUGGGCAAUCCCCAACUUCCUGACUGUUAGGGGUACUUGAGGACUGGGUUGGGAACCACUGUUAGAAAGCUUCCUUGUACCCUUACCAGCCACCUACAACUUCUGUCUGUUGUGGUUGUGAAAGGAUUAUAGGUGCGCAUGGACAGCCAGAGGUCUAAUAUGUGAUGACCUGUGCCUUGUCACAUGGGUUUGUAAAAAGGAAGUAUGUUGGCCGGGUGCAGCCUGUAAGGUCAGCUUUCUUUAUUCACAGACUUUAAGGCCAUCAUUUUACUGCAUAAGACAAAUUAAAGAGUGGUUGGAGGAUUGUGUAGCAAUCAGAUUAUUAACAGAGGUUGGAGCAGUUUUGGCAAACAAUGUUUGAUUGCACAGUUUCCAAUAAACAGCCAUUUUUUUCUAGCAGCAAGAGGUGUACUGGAUUGGGGAAAGAAUUCUGGGAAGAUCUGGGAUUUUAUUUUUAAGUGAGAAGACAUUAAAAAAUAGUCUUAAUUAAUCCAAUUGUAUCAUUUUACAUGUAAGUGUCCCUGGCCAAUUUCUCUUACAGAAUUAUCUGAUAAGAAUAUAAAGUUGAGAUGUAAUAGGUAUGGGAUUAGCAGGUCAGUGUAUUGUACACACCUUGUAGAUGAUAACUAACCUAGUUAAGUCAGUGCUUUAAACCCCCUUUACAAAGUAUAAGCUGCAACAUAGGUUCUUAGAAUCGCCUAACAAACUCAGGACCUGUAUUGGUGACCACAACAUCUCUUCAAUAAAUAAACCUGUCACUAUGACUCUGACAUUGCACAUGGUUUGGUGUUGGGUCCUAAUUAACGAUGAAGAGGAGUACUAACUCCUGUGUCCAAGAACAUGGGAGCAACAACUGUAGUUAUUUCUAGACUCAAAGUGACACUGUCUUAACAUACAAGGACAUCACCGUAUACAGCGAAUAUGUAAUUUGUCAUAGUGACAUUCUGCAAUUGAUUAAUGAGACAACAAACGGUUACCUCUUCCUCAGCAGUACCAGCACUGCCGAAACCCACUGUGUAUGCGUGUUACUGUAAAACCCACAGACACCCUGAUCCUGCCUACAUUCAUGGUUAUUCCUGCCCCUUUGAUGCCAACACACUGGCUCCAUUAUAGGGCUAUAAUGGAGUAAAUCCAUAUCUUCUAGCAAAACCAUAAUAUAAUGUUCUAGCACGCACCAGGACAAAAUCAUAGCAAGUGUUUUGGUUGACGAGACAGAGCAGCGCCACUUGGGAGUGUGUUCUGCUCGUGUCACUCAGUUGUUGGUAUAUAGAUCUCAGAACUCUAUGCAGAAAACUGGUGACACUGGGGACACUUCUAAACAGGUCAUCAAAUCUAUAUAUUGACUAGUGAUUCUGAUCACGGAAUAUUUAGCAGACAUUUUAUGUGGUUCAAAUUUUAAAUAAACUUGUAUUACCAGGACAGGUACACUUUAAAUGAAGUCCCAAAUCAUAAAGGAUCAGGUUUUGCAUCAGGAAAAAUUAAAGGUAAUGAAUUCCACUUCUGAAUGAAACACCAGUAACAAGGGCCAGCAUAUUCCAGGAUGUAUAUCGUGUAUAAACAUUGACGCAGCAUAUUAAAAGUGCAACCUUAUAGCUAGUAGCAAACUCAUUAAUCACUAAUGGGAUCUCGCACUGGUUAUUUGAUUCAGAAAAAAUGGUGGAUCUAUUUAACACUACUGGGUCAAAGUCUUACCUUCAAUAAAAAGGGACAGUACUAUUAUAUUAUAAACGAACCAUUUUAAUGCAGUAAAGGCAAUACCAGCACCAAAAAAUUUACUUUACAGAAAAUGAAUCCAGGUCCUGGGUUUUGAAACAUACUUUGAGAAUUCAAUCAAUUCAGUCGUAAUCCAUAUCUAACUGAUCGUUAUGGGACUGGUCAGCCA
Pelobates cultripes (western spadefoot toad) is the source of this 4221-nucleotide non-coding RNA. The record is from the annotation of a GenBank genome assembly. NCBI's taxonomy places the organism in Eukaryota, Metazoa, Chordata, Amphibia, Anura, Pelobatidae.